AACAACUAUAAAACUAACUAGAAACAAAUUUUUAUUACAAAAUAAUUCAGUAGAAAUAAGGUUAGUCUGGAAUUCAAUUUUAGAAAGGCCAUUAUAAUAAAAAAAACAGUAACAUUCUUAGGGUAGUAAUAAAAUACGAUAACACCAACUAAGGUCAGACCAGAUAGUGGAUUAUUUACUCGAUGAAUCAAUUCUAAAUAUCAUGCAGAAUCGAAUGCCUUUAAUUUAGCAAUGAGGUAGG
RNAcentral lists this unclassified non-coding RNA (241 nucleotides) under Moritella viscosa. RNAcentral's name for it is "putative sRNA". Lineage: Bacteria; Pseudomonadati; Pseudomonadota; Gammaproteobacteria; Alteromonadales; Moritellaceae. The record is from RNAcentral.